UUAAGAUUGGAAAGCAAAAUGAAGUACUUAAGGAUUGUACUUUAAACAGAGGGAGAAAAAGCAGAGUAGUAAAUCCUAAGGAGUGGAAUUUUGUUUUGUUGGAUCUUUUGCUUUGCUUUUGCUUCGACAAUUACAACACAAAUUACUAUGAUUUCUUUUCUUUCUUCCCCAUCCCAUUAUCAUUCAUCCGACAAUUUCUUUUCCCAAUUUGUCUUCUUCCACUUCGUUCAAUGCCCAAAACCCUAAAAAUCGACCUCUCAAACCCCAUUUUGUGGCUCCAAAUCCGCCCCUUUCUUUGUCAUUCUUUUCUUACCUGUAUUUGUGGAUCCAAAUCAUGUGCAUUCUCUUGUUCUUUCUCUUUAAUGGGACCCCUUUUACCAUUUCCGAUCAUUAUCGAGUAAUUUCUUUCUUACUCCUACCUCCAGCGACAAAUCAGAUUAGAAUACCCGGAAUCUGGAAGGACCCCAUGUAAUGCAAUCAUGGAUUUUGGUUGAAGAUUAGUGUUCUUGGCUUUGAUCUUUCCGAAGUGAUUGUUCAUGCAGCACAUUGAGUUCGUGUAAGUUUCUGAUGCUCUUUGUUAAUAGGAACAGUUUGUUGUUGUAUAAGGACUUGGCUUUAUUAUUACGACAUGUCGUUUUUAGUUAGUGGGUUGCGGGAAAAUGGGGGCUUGUUAAUGGCGAGUGGUAAGGAUUUAGGCAGGUGGAAGUCAGAGAGUGAAUGUUGGAUUCUAUGGCAAUUUCUCAUACAUUCUUUUUCUUGACUGUUGAUUUGUUUUGUUCUAAAUAAAGAAACACAACUUUCUGGCCUAAAUUGUAGCUGUGCUUAUAAUGGACUUUGUCAAUUAAAUCUCACUCUUAAACUCUUCUCUUAUCUCUAUUUAGUGAACAGGUUAAAGAAUGUUUAGUAUUGAUUUCUCAUGAAUUUUGUCUAAUUUCUAGGGGAGAACGAAAAUCAUUAAGCUAAAUGGGGAAUUACUGUUAAUGUGCCUAUACAAAAUCAUCAGGCCUUUCAAUAAUUAUCGUUUCUUUCCAGCAUUUGAUGAUAAAAUGUGAGGAUGGCUGUUGCUUGCAUUGUAAUGGUUUUGGCUUCAUGUUAUUUCCAAAAACACUGAUUCUUUAUUGGUUAUAUUGGAAAGCUCUUGAAAUUGAUUUGGAGGCAAUAAUUUCAACAUCCUAAUUGAUAAUUAGGCUGUGAAAAUUGAAAGCAUUGACCUAUGUAAUGUCCCUGAAGAGGGUAUGUUUGGCCAGUUUCUGCCUGUGGAUUAGUAUCACAUGAUAUAAUUUUUUUGUUGGUAAAUUGGUAUCUAUGUUAAUGACCUAAAAACAUUGCGUCCCAAAAAUUAAUCUCUUCUGAGUUAAAAAUCAACAGUUUUAACCUGGUUAGAAGAGCUUUAUUGAUUUUCUGAUGGACUCUGGUGAUGUUGAGCAAUCCUUGCUUCCUAAGCUGUCCGAUUCUGAUAAGAGGAAUUCUCUCCAGAGAAGAAAAUCUAAUCGUCAUGGUAGUUUUUCACAUUCAGUAGAAAAUAAUAAUCAACCACACAAUUAUGAUGUAGUGUCUCAUCAACGUAUUGCUGUUUCACAAGUUAGUUUUAGGAAAGUAUUUGUUCUUCUGGCGAUUUAUUUGGGAGGAGGCACAUUUUGUUUUUUCCUUGUUCGUGAUCAGAUCACUGGCAAGAAAACAAAUGGGAUUGUUGAUGCCAUUUACUUUUGUGUUGUCACAAUGACCACCGUUGGGUAUGGUGAUCUUGUUCCUAACAGCAUAGUUGCAAAACUACUUGCAUGUGUUUAUGUCUUCACUGGAAUGACCCUUGGUGGGAUGAUUCUUAGCAAGGCAGCCGAUUACAUUGUGGAAAAGCAAGAAAUUCUUCUGGUUAAGGCCAUGUACAUGGGGAAAAAGAUCAGCUCCAGUGAGAUUCUUCAGGAAUCUGAGGCUAACAAAUUGAAACACAAAUUCAUUAUGACUGGAAUCCUCCUCUGGGGUCUUGUUGUUGUUGGAACUCUUAUCUUGACUGUGGUUGAGAAGCUAGAGUUCAUGGAUGCCUUUUAUUGUGUUUGCUCCACAAUCACGACUCUCGGCUAUGGGGAUGAGAGCUUCUCUACAACAGCCGGUCGGGUUUUUGCUGUCAUUUGGAUAAUGAGCAGUACCAUCUGCUUAGCACAGUUCUUUCUGUACCUUGCAGAAUUACACACAGAAAGGAGACAGGAAUCACUGGUAAAUUGGGUUCUCAGCCGAAGCCUCACGUACAAGGAUCUUGAAGAAGCAGAUCUUGAUCACGAUAAAGUAGUAAGUGCUGCAGAAUUUGUUUUAUAUAAACUGAAGGAAAUGGGGAAGAUCAAUCAGGAAGAUGUUUCUCCCAUACUUGACACUUUUAAGAAGCUUGACAUUGAUCAAUCAGGAAGUUUAACAGAAGCUGAUAUAGUGACCUCAUAGUCAUUGGCUUGAUAACGCCUAACUCUUAUCAGACCAUAAUUCUUGUAGAGCAUUGGAGGAGGUGAUGAUGAUCCUUGCUGCUUAUUUUGUCCACUCACUAGAGUAGAUUGAAGCUGAUUGUUGUUGAUCCAGAUUAGUAUAUGAUAACACCACCAUUUCUUAUAUUGUUAUUGACUAUUUGACAACGCUUCAUCAAAUUUGAUACAAUCUAACAUGUUUAGAGUGGUUUUCGCCAUAUUCAGGCCGUGCGACAUAAUCUAGAAUCCCUUCACCAGCUUUCACACCAUGAAUUUCGGUUCCGACUUGGAAACCACCUCCAAAGGCGAUCAUUGCCACCAGAAGUACGGCUGUGGAGGCAAAGAGAGGCCAAAAGAAAGCUAGAAUACUUAGAAACCGAGGGGCUGCAUACACAAACAAUGACAGAACAACUGAAACUGCUGCUACAACAGUUAUUUGGUCUUUGUGUUGGAGAACCUUUGUUUGAAUGUCCAUGGAGAAGGAGAAGGAGAAGGAGAAAUAGGGAAAGAGAAACUUUCUAUGAGUGAUGAUGAUUUCUAUGAGUCUCUCCUUUUCUGGUAAGAUGGUAUUUAUAAGUGAAAAACAUUGUAUUGCUGAUGAAUUUCAAAAGAUCUCAAACUUUGCUUGAUUCAUCAGCUUCUUAUUUUUUGCAAGAUGCAAUUGUUUUGCAUAUAAUAUAGUUAUUGCGAAAAUACUGAAAUACCCUUAUACAGUUAGUAGAAAUUUUGGUGGGGGAGUUGAAGGAGAAGGGGGGAACGAGUCAUUUAAGACAGGAAACAAAUGGAAACUUGGGGACAAGGAUGCUUGAUUAGAUUGUUGUCCCUUUGCUUGAUUGGUCGGUUACUUUGUCCCUUUACAUUUGAUCACUUUCAUGUGUGUUAUGGAUUUCAGGGUAUUAUUGAGGAAAAGAAUGGCAUCUUUUCUUUUUCUUUUUCUAAUCUUUUUCUCAAUCAAAGAACAAUUUUUGAGAAUAAUAAACAAUCUGAUUAUUCUGCUUUUGAAUUGAAA
This is an RNA transcript of Benincasa hispida (wax gourd), 3456 nucleotides long. It is a transcript of the gene named two-pore potassium channel 1-like, with no coding region annotated. The record is from RefSeq and is a predicted model, not a curated record. Lineage: Eukaryota; Viridiplantae; Streptophyta; Magnoliopsida; Cucurbitales; Cucurbitaceae.